RNAcentral lists this ribosomal RNA (305 nucleotides) under uncultured bacterium. Its description in RNAcentral is "bacterial SSU rRNA". It matches the Rfam family "Bacterial small subunit ribosomal RNA", at positions 334 to 656 of the family's 1533-position model. The record is from RNAcentral.
AGCCCCUACGGGAGGCAGCAGUGGGGAAUAUUGGACAAUGGGGGGAACCCUGAUCCAGCGACGCCGCGUGAGUGAAGAAGUAUUUCGGUAUGCAAAGCCCUGUCAGCAGGGAAGAAAAUGACGGUACCUGAAGAAGAAGCCCCGGCUAACUACGUGCCAGCAGCCGCGGUAAUACGUAGGGGGCAAGCGUUAUCCGGAUUUACUGGGUGUAAAGGGGGCGCAGACGGCGAUGCAAGCCAGGAGUGAAAGCCCGGGGCCCAACCCCGGGACUGCUCUUGGAACUGCGUGGCUGGAGGGCAGGAGGG